CGGUUAUGAUUGGGUCUGCGCCUGCGAGCGAGAGACGUUACGAGUGUCGAGGCGGUCAGGCUGUAGACCUAAGUAGAUUUAGUGGCUGUUCGUCCACAUGUGGAAACCAAGGUGAUCGAUUUGGCCAAUAACUCUGUCGAGGGGUUUGGCUUAGAUUCACGAACGAGGUGUUCGUGUGAGCUCGUUGCGAGAGCGGAUUAGUGUUGGUCGUGGCAAUUGGAAGAGAGAGAUGUGCCGGGGUAGGCCAUCUCGUAGUAGAGUGAUUUGAGGUUAGAAGUGGCAAUUGAGAGGUAAGGGAAAGUGGUCUCUUGGAGACACUUGAAUACCGGAUAGCCACAUGGAAUUGUGGACAAUGCUCUCUUGAGAAUUGAAGGUUUGAGAUAUGCCGGGGUAGGCCAUCUUGCGGUAGAGCAAGGUCCGAAUGUGGUUAGGACACUCG
This 439-nucleotide long non-coding RNA is filed under the name Ananas comosus (pineapple). RNAcentral's name for it is "long non-coding RNA (ACOM_LNC036100)". The record is from RNAcentral. Lineage: Eukaryota; Viridiplantae; Streptophyta; Magnoliopsida; Poales; Bromeliaceae.